Molecule: long non-coding RNA, 1185 nt
Filed under: Piliocolobus tephrosceles (Ugandan red Colobus)
Lineage: Eukaryota; Metazoa; Chordata; Mammalia; Primates; Cercopithecidae
Description: lncRNA (ENSPTEG00000007523.1)
Source: RNAcentral
AUGGAAGAAUGUGAUUUUAGUAUUUUAUUAGAUGGUGUAAAUUUUGUUGUUAUUGUUGAUAUAUAUGAAAUGUAUAAGAAAAAAAAAACAAAUUUAUUAAAAAAAAUUUUAUUAACAUAUAAAGAAAAACAAAAAAAGAAUAAGGAUUUACAACUUUUGUUAAUAAAUAAAACAUAUAAUGAAUGGGUAGUACAAGAAAUGUUUCAAUAUUUAAAAAGUAUAAAAUAUAAAAUUCAUAUUGAAAAGGAUAUAUCUAUUGAGUUAUAUAAUGAACAGGAACAUGUGUGUGAUGAUGUUAUAGGCACUGGUAACAGUAACAGGUUGAAUUGUGAUGUAUCCAGUAGUGUACCAAUUUUAUACUAUAAUUUAAAUAAUUGUAAAAAAAGUAACUGUGAACAUUUGAGCAUUCAUGUACCAUUAAACGAGGAUAAAAAGUUUUUAAUAUUAUUUUUUUUAUUAUGUACCAACAAUAAUAAUAAUAAUAAUAAUAAUAAAAAAAAAGUUAUAAUUUUUUAUCAUAAGAAUGAUAUAUACUCAUUUUACAAUUUUGUAAAUUCAUAUAUUCCUUGUUUAUUUUUAGAAAAUACAUAUAAAAUAAAUUUAAAAAAAAAUAUUAUUAACACUUUUAAUAAAAGUAAUGAUUAUAUUCUUAUAACAAAUGAUAAAAACAUAAAAAUGUUAUACGAAGUAAAUGUACAAUUAAUUAUUCAUUAUACAUUUGAUGGUAAUAUUAAGUCUUAUUUUGAUACAUUAUCUGGUAUAAAUGUCGAAACACAAAACGAUAAAAAUAAUGCGCCUACUUAUACUACAAUAAAUACAUGUGAUAAUAAGACAAAUGAACAUAUAGGUACUAUUACAAACACAAAUCAGUAUUAUACUAGUUGCGAAACUGUACAGUCUGUUUUAUUUUAUAAUAAAAAAUUAAAUAAACAAUACGAAGUACUUAAUAAGAUUGUAAAUUUUAGUAACUAUACUUUACCUACACAAAGAGAAAUGAAAACUCUUUUUUUACAAUUUUUAAUUAACGAAAUUAAAAAUGUUGUUAUUGAAGAUGAAUAUCUUUUAAAAGAAGCAAAAAAUAUUUAUGAAAAAUAUGAUUACCACUUUGUUUCAGCUGCUUUAUAUUAUAUACAAAAAAAAAAGUUAUACAAAAAAAACAUAAAAAAAAAGAUUAUUCCAAUAUAA